GAUGAAGAACGUAGCGAAAUGCGAUAAGUAAUGUGAAUUGCAGAAUUCAGUGAAUCAUCGAAUCUUUGAACGCACAUUGCGCCCGCUAGUAUUCUGGCGGGCAUGCCUGUUCGAGCGUCAUUUCAACCAUCAAGCCCCUGGGCUUGCGCUGGGGCCCUGCGGCUGCCGCAGACCCCUAAAACCAGUGGCGGGCUCGCUGUCACACCGAGCGCAGUAGCAAUAUCUCGCUCUGGGCGUGGCGGCGGGCGCUUGCCGUAAAACAAACCACAUGUCAAGGUUGACCUCGGAUCAGGUAGGAAUACCCGCUGAACUUAAGCAUAUCCAAUAAGCGGAGGA
Molecule: unclassified non-coding RNA, 336 nt
Filed under: soil metagenome
Description: partial contains 5.8S ribosomal RNA, internal transcribed spacer 2, and large subunit ribosomal RNA
Rfam family: 5.8S ribosomal RNA (bases 1-120)
Source: RNAcentral